This 253-nucleotide ribosomal RNA is filed under the name uncultured bacterium. RNAcentral's name for it is "partial 16S ribosomal RNA". It matches the Rfam family "Bacterial small subunit ribosomal RNA", at positions 524 to 776 of the family's 1533-position model. The record is from RNAcentral.
GACGAACCGAGCGAACGUUGUUCGGAAUCACUGGGCGUAAAGCGCACGUAGGCGGAUCUUUAAGUCAGGGGUGAAAUCCCGAGGCUCAACCUCGGAACUGCCUUUGAUACUGGGGAUCUCGAGUCCGGGAGAGGUGAGUGGAACUGCGAGUGUAGAGGUGAAAUUCGUAGAUAUUCGCAAGAACACCAGUGGCGAAGGCGGCUCACUGGCCCGGAACUGACGCUGAGGAGCGAAAGCGUGGGGAGCGAACAGG